UGGCGGCAGCUAAUACAUGCAAGUCGAGCGGAUUGAUGGGAGCUUGCUCCCAUCAGUCAGCGGCGGACGGGUGAGUAACACGUGGGUAACCUGCCUGUAAGACUGGGAUAACUCCGGGAAACCGGGGCUAAUACCGGAUAACUCAUUUCCUCGCAUGAGGAAAUGUUGAAAGGUGGCUUUUAGCUAUCACUUACAGAUGGACCCGCGGCGCAUUAGCUAGUUGGUGAGGUAACGGCUCACCAAGGCGACGAUGCGUAGCCGACCUGAGAGGGUGAUCGGCCACACUGGGACUGAGACACGGCCCAGACUCCUACGGGAGGCAGCAGUAGGGAAUCUUCCGCAAUGGACGAAAGUCUGACGGAGCAACGCCGCGUGAGUGAUGAAGGUUUUCGGAUCGUAAAACUCUGUUGUUAGGGAAGAACAAGUACCGUUCGAAUAGGGCGGUACCUUGACGGUACCUAACCAGAAAGCCACGGCUAACUACGUGCCAGCAGCCGCGGUAAUACGUAGGUGGCAAGCGUUGUCCGGAAUUAUUGGGCGUAAAGCGCGCGCAGGUGGUUCCUUAAGUCUGAUGUGAAAGCCCACGGCUCAACCGUGGAGGGUCAUUGGAAACUGGGGGACUUGAGUGCAGAAGAGGAAAGU
RNAcentral lists this ribosomal RNA (642 nucleotides) under Bacillus sp. (in: firmicutes). RNAcentral's name for it is "bacterial SSU rRNA". It matches the Rfam family "Bacterial small subunit ribosomal RNA", at positions 37 to 662 of the family's 1533-position model. The record is from RNAcentral. Lineage: Bacteria; Bacillati; Bacillota; Bacilli; Caryophanales; Bacillaceae.